Molecule: non-coding RNA, 201 nt
Filed under: Mucilaginibacter pedocola
Lineage: Bacteria; Pseudomonadati; Bacteroidota; Sphingobacteriia; Sphingobacteriales; Sphingobacteriaceae
Source: RNAcentral
UACUUUUACAGCGCUUAAGGUUCCUGGUGCUUGCCAUCGGGAUUAAAAGGGAAUGCAGUGUAAAUCUGUAACUGUCCCGCAGCUGUAAGUUCCGUUAAACCAAUGCCCAUUCUUUUGGCCACUGUCCCGACGUAAAGUCGGGGUGGGAAGGCAGGGCAGAGGGGAGCAAGUCAGAAUACCUGCCUCGGCAUUAUAAUUAUU